GCCCAGGUCGCAUAACCUGGUAUUGCGCAGGAUUGCUAAUCCUGUGUCCGUAAGGAUGUGCAGGUUCAAAUCCUGCCCUGGGCG
RNAcentral lists this transfer RNA (84 nucleotides) under Candidatus Woesearchaeota archaeon. RNAcentral describes it as "tRNA-Ser". It matches the Rfam family "tRNA". Rfam says of the family: Transfer RNA (tRNA) molecules are approximately 80 nucleotides in length. Their secondary structure includes four short double-helical elements and three loops (D, anti-codon, and T loops). Further hydrogen bonds mediate the characteristic L-shaped molecular structure. tRNAs have two regions of fundamental functional importance: the anti-codon, which is responsible for specific mRNA codon recognition, and the 3' end, to which the tRNAs corresponding amino acid is attached (by aminoacyl-tRNA synthetases). tRNAs cope with the degeneracy of the genetic code in two manners: having more than one tRNA (with a specific anti-codon) for a particular amino acid; and 'wobble' base-pairing, i.e. permitting non-standard base-pairing at the 3rd anti-codon position. The record is from RNAcentral. Lineage: Archaea; Nanobdellati; Candidatus Woesearchaeota.